UACGUAGGGUGCGAGCGUUGUCCGGAAUUAUUGGGCGUAAAGAGCUCGUAGGCGGUUUGUCGCGUCGGCCGUGAAAACUUGGGGCUUAACCCCAAGCCUGCGGUCGAUACGGGCAGACUUGAGUUCGGCAGGGGAGACUGGAAUUCCUGGUGUAGCGGUGAAAUGCGCAGAUAUCAGGAGGAACACCGGUGGCGAAGGCGGGUCUCUGGGCCGAUACUGACGCUGAGGAGCGAAAGCGUGGGGAGCGAACGGG
Molecule: ribosomal RNA, 253 nt
Filed under: uncultured bacterium
Lineage: Bacteria
Description: partial 16S ribosomal RNA
Rfam family: Bacterial small subunit ribosomal RNA
Source: RNAcentral